This 253-nucleotide ribosomal RNA is filed under the name uncultured bacterium. Its description in RNAcentral is "partial 16S ribosomal RNA". It matches the Rfam family "Bacterial small subunit ribosomal RNA", at positions 524 to 776 of the family's 1533-position model. The record is from RNAcentral.
UACGGAGGGUGCAAGCGUUAUCCGGAUUCACUGGGUUUAAAGGGAGCGUAGGUGGGUUGGUAAGUCAGUGGUGAAAUCCCCGAGCUUAACUUGGGAACUGCCAUUGAUACUAUCAGUCUUGAAUAUUGUGGAGGUCAGCGGAAUAUGUCAUGUAGCGGUGAAAUGCUUAGAGAUGACAUAGAACACCAAUUGCGAAGGCAGCUGGCUACGCAUAUAUUGACACUGAGGCUCGAAAGCGUGGGGAUCAAACAGG